RNAcentral lists this ribosomal RNA (447 nucleotides) under uncultured bacterium. RNAcentral describes it as "bacterial SSU rRNA". It matches the Rfam family "Bacterial small subunit ribosomal RNA", at positions 355 to 825 of the family's 1533-position model. The record is from RNAcentral.
UGGGGAAUAUUGGACAAUGGGGGGAACCCUGAUCCAGCAAUGCCGCGUGUGUGAAGAAGGCCUUCGGGUUGUAAAAUCCUUUCGUUGGGGACGAUAAUGACGGUACCCAAAGAAGAAGCUCCGGCUAACUUCGUGCCAGCAGCCGCGGUAAUACGAAGGGGGCUAGCGUUGUUCGGAAUUACUGGGCGUAAAGCGCGCGUAGGCGGUCGUAUAAGUCGGAUGUGAAAGCCCUUGGCUCAACCAAGGAACUGCGUCCGAUACUGUACGGCUUGAGGCUGGUAGGGGGUAGCGGAAUUCCCGGUGUAGCGGUGGAAUGCGUAGAUAUCGGGAGGAACACCGAUGGCGAAAGCGGCUACCUGGGCCAGAUCUGACGCUGAGGCGCGAAAGCUAGGGGAGCAAACAGGAUUAGAUACCCACGUAGUCCCUGAGCGGGCUGGCAAGGCGCAU